This 66-nucleotide transfer RNA is filed under the name Rhagio tringarius. RNAcentral describes it as "tRNA-Gly". The record is from RNAcentral. Lineage: Eukaryota; Metazoa; Arthropoda; Insecta; Diptera; Rhagionidae.
AUUUAUAUAAUAUAAAAAGUAUAGAUGACUUCCAAUUAUCAUGUCUAAUAUUAAUUAGUAUAAAUA